GACCCUAAAAAGUCCUUUAAACACAAAGGUCUGGUCCUAGCCUUGAAGUCAGUUUUUACUUUACUUAUACAUGCAAGUCUCCGCACCCCUGUGAAAACGCCCUUAAACCCCUUUUAGGGAAAAGGAGCUGGUAUCAGGCACAACACUUAGCCCAAAACACCUAGCUACGCCACAUCCACAAGGGACCUCAGCAGUAAUUAACAUUGAACAUAAGCGCCAGCUUGAUUCAGUUAAAGUAAAAAGGGCAGGCAAAUUUGGUGCCAGCCGCCGCGGUUACACCAUGUGGCCCAAAUUGACUUCUUUCGGCGUAAAGAGUGAUUAAAGCACUUUUAUUCUGUAGUUUAACUAAAAUUAAGUCGUGAUAAGCUUGUAUUUAAGAAACCCAAAAACGAAAGUUACUACACCCAAAACAACUUGAACUCACAAUAGCUAAGGAACAAACUAGGAUUAGAGACCCUACUAUGCUUAGCCACAAACUUUUAAUUACACCCCAAACGCCCGGGAACUACGAGCAAAGCUUAAAACCCAAAGGACUUGACGGUACCCCAUAUCCCCCUAGAGGAGCCUGUCCUAUAAUCGAUAAUCCCCGUUUAACCUCACCACUUUUAGCCUUUCAGUCUGUAUACCUCCGUCGUCAGCUUACCACAUGAGUGAAAUAUAGUAAGUUUAAUGUCCUAUCAUACGUCAAUACGUCAGGUCAAGGUGCAGCUAAUAAAGUGGGAAGAGAUGGGCUACACUCUCUAAUUUAGAAUACACGAAAGACUACUAUGAAAACUAGUCUAAAGGUGGAUUUAGUAGUAAAAAAAGACCAAAGUGCUUUUUUUAACUAGGCCCUGGGGGUGUGUACACACCGCCCGUCACCCUCUUCGCAGCCAUAAUUUAGUAAUUAACAAAAUUUGCACCGUAGAAGAGGUAAGUCGUAACAUGGUAAGUAUACCGGAAGGUGUGCUUGGAAA
This 956-nucleotide non-coding RNA is filed under the name Boana caipora. RNAcentral describes it as "partial 12S ribosomal RNA". It matches the Rfam family "Bacterial small subunit ribosomal RNA". The record is from RNAcentral. Lineage: Eukaryota; Metazoa; Chordata; Amphibia; Anura; Hylidae.